GUCGGCCUCAAGGUUACACAUUCCUUCAGUUUACAGCCUGGACAAUGCAAGGAGACAAACAGAGGUCAACCCAGGUGUCCUCGGGGAUACCCUGGCUGCACUGCUUCUGGUAGGACAGCAGGAGGCCUCCUCUGCAGCCAAACUUUGAGUCAGCUGCUGCCUGACCUUAACAGAUGUCAUUCGCCGGAGCAAGAGACUCUGCCUGUCUGUUUGCAGAAAAGCCAGGCUAAAUCGAGACAGCUGUAUACAUAUCGCCUAACCCUCCCUCAGCCUGUCAAAGAUGACUUCGAUUUCUUCCACUCUCCUAAAGAUCAAAGAGGAAGUCACGGGCUGUAAACAGGGAUUUAUCAUUUCAAUUUUAUAGGAAGAAAACUGAGGAACAAAACCGGAUCAUAAAUUUGCCAGGCCAGGGGACAGGUUUUAUUAUUCUUUGUGAUCUCUUUCCCUUUAAACCACUGUCACUUCCAACCCUAGUGCUUUGGGGUGUAAUUGGAUAUUAUAGAGCCGUCAGUGUUAUUAGGUCAUUCAACACAUGAAAAGUUGUCCUGAAGUUCAAUGGAAAAAUUACUGUCCACAUUCACUAAAAGUAUGAGAGAGCAACAGCUUCAAAUUUAUCUUUUAAGAUGAAUAACCUAAAUAUACAGCAUGGCUCACAAAAGUGCCAGGAGGAAAAAUAAAUUAUACUCGUGAAUACUGUAAAGCAAUCUUUUGUGGUUGUUGUUAUGAGUUUUGACUGUCUUUCCACUAGUUGUAUUUCCAUUUUCAAUAAGAAGCCACAGACCUACUUGUAGGCGGCUCCCUUCCUUUACCUGGACAGGGGCUCCCUAGAAAUAUUGACAGAAGCUCGGACAGGGGGGGAACAGUGUUCAGUGCAGGACUGGAAGUAUUCUCAUAAAUCCUUUCUAAGAGAACUUUGGCCUGAUUAUAUUUCAUCUGUAAUUGUGCUUUCUAAUUUUAAGUAGUUGAGAAAGAUUAUAAUUUUUCUAAAUAUCGACUUGUGCAAGUAAGAUUGUCACACCAUUCUCUUGUAUGCCUCCAUAGGAC
This 1044-nucleotide long non-coding RNA is filed under the name Fukomys damarensis (Damara mole-rat). RNAcentral describes it as "lncRNA (ENSFDAG00000022728.1)". The record is from RNAcentral. Lineage: Eukaryota; Metazoa; Chordata; Mammalia; Rodentia; Bathyergidae.